Molecule: long non-coding RNA, 753 nt
Filed under: Ananas comosus (pineapple)
Lineage: Eukaryota; Viridiplantae; Streptophyta; Magnoliopsida; Poales; Bromeliaceae
Description: long non-coding RNA (ACOM_LNC007724)
Source: RNAcentral
UGACAAUUUACAUCCGUUACAUUAUACUAAUCAACCGACCAUCCACUCAACUUUGAGAGAUUACUAUCAUUCUAACCACACAUCCCUCCAUUUAAGGCCGAAAACUUAAUAGCAACACAUAUUUGGUAUUAUUAAUAGUAUAAUAACGUUGUUAUAUAUAUAUAUAUAUAUAUAUAUAUAGAGAGAGAGAGAGAGAGAGAGCAGGACUGUUGUGCUCUCAGGAGCACGGAGGUCUCCAUGCUCCUGAGCCGUUUUCGAUGAUGGAAUUUCCGAAUUGACGAUCGGCUCCGGUAGACUUGAUCUAGUGUAUUUGAAGUUUCUAGAAAAUAAUUUUUGCUAUUUUUCGAUAUUAUUUACCUAGCAAUCGAAAGGAUUCAAAAUCAAUAAUUUUUAACGGCUGAAAAUAAAGUCCUAUAAAAAGUGGUGAUAUAGCAAUAAAAUUUUCGAUCAGAAAAAUUGAACUUGUUGUAGAUAGUAGAAAGAAUUUUGUAUUAAAAUUUUAUCUGAUUAAUUUGAAUACUUCUACACCGUUAAACUUGAAAACGGUAGAUAUCAACCAUUAAAAAUUAUUAAUUUUGAAUCUUUUCGAUCACUAGGUAAAUGAUAUCGAAAAAUCGCAAAAAUUAUUUUCUAGAAACUUCAAAUGCGCUAGAUCAAGUCUAACGGAGCCGAUCGUCGAUUUGAAAAUUUCAUCAUCAGAAACGGCUCAGGAGCAAGGAGACCUCUGUGCUCCUGAGAGCAUAGCAGCCCUGC